Long non-coding RNA from Passer domesticus (house sparrow), 7112 nucleotides. RefSeq lists it as uncharacterized. The record is from RefSeq and is a predicted model, not a curated record. Lineage: Eukaryota; Metazoa; Chordata; Aves; Passeriformes; Passeridae. The transcript has 5 exons.
GCCUCUCCCAGCAGCAGGAGCAGGAGGAUCCCAAUCCCAACGGGAUCGGCUGCAGUGCAGGGAGGCACAGCUGGAGGUGCCAGAGCCCGGGGACACCUCCACUGGGGACAAAGGGAAGGACAAACAACAGGGUUUGAUCUUCACAGGGCAAAGCCUCAGCAGGAAAAAUCAUCCCUUGCUGCCAGAGUUUGGGACAACGCUCUGGAAGGUGCUGGGUACAGAGGGGAUGAUUUGUGUGGGCUGAAAAGUCAGCCUGGACUGGGGGAUAACGAAGGAGGGUCAGCAGUGAUUACCAAGUAAUCAAAUUACUCCGAUCAUGAAAGGAAAAGGGGUGGCAGAUGCUCUCCUGCCACCUGAGGCUGCUGCCCUGGCAGGCAGUGAGGAGCAGGUCAGACAGGAGAGGCUCUGCAGGAGGUGUGGAGUUCAAUUUCCAGGCACUGUGUCACUCACUAAAAGCUAAUUCACUUCCCACCCACUACAUCAUUUAAUUUCCAAGCAUAUCAUGGAAUACAGCAUCCUCCUGCCAGAGGCCAGCAGAAAUGUAAAGGUCAGGAUUUCAUUGUUUGAUUGCUGACAAGCAGAGCAAUUAAAACUGAAGUAAUUAAUAUCACCGUGUCCAAGGUCUGGCAGUGACUUUCCAGGCAAUUAAUCCCACGAGGUGAGCAGAGGGGCAUCCCAAAUGAUGGCAGCAGAGGUGAAGAUGAUCCCUGAUGUCCUUCAGGAGAGCCCAGGACAAGCCAGUGGGAUUUGGGAAUCCUCGCAGAGCAGGCUGGUAUCGUGUCCCAGCACCCCCAGCAGGAGGUUCUUUCAAUAUUUUGAUGAAGUUUGGGUGGAAAUCAAGCUGGCAUCCCUGGCUGAGCAGACACCCAGCUGCCAGGAUCCCUGCCUGCAUCUUCUGUGAUCCAAGGAGACACAAAUGGGGCUUGUCCUGUGCCAGCACAGGAAAUCUGGGAAUAAAUCCCAGAGCCUGAGGGAAACUCUCACAGGGACUUCAGACCCCCAGCAGGCCCUUGAGGAGACAUUCCCUGCACUGCCUUCCCAUUAAAAAUGCAUUUUGCAGGAAUUCAUGGAUUGUAAUAAUGGAUGGAUUAUGGAUUGAUGGAUUAUUAAUAACGGAUGGGAAAUUCCAGUGCUCCCAAAUCAGUAAUGGGAUUUUUUAGGACCAAGGGAUGCUUCUCAAGCACUUCCCUCUCUGCAGGGAAACUGCUGCAGGACUCCCAGGGACAUAAUGAGAAAUAGUUGGGAAUUUUGGGACAAAUGUGGUGUUUUAAAUAAUUAUGGAGAAGAAAUCCUUCAGUUUCUCCAUUCUGUCCUCACAAACACAAAGAGUUUCCUGCUCUGCAGCCACACAAACCCCACCAGUGAGGUUCUUUACAUGAAUUGUCUUGUGGGAGAUUCCUGCUAUUUUUUGGGUCACAUUAUCCUAAACAAGAAGUUCGUUUGCAUAUAAUUAAUCAAAACUGUUUCAUAGAAUUAAUAAAAUAUUAUUUGCAUUUUUACUCAGUUAAAAGCAGAUGUUGCACCCCCAGAAUUCCACAAAUUGAAGACUUCAUACCAACAGGUUUGAACACUAGAAAACUUAAAUAUCUCGUACCCAAAUUCCCUGAAGUAAAAUAGGAAGUAAAAUGGGAAAUGGAAAUGCAAUGUACAGAAUUUUGCAAUAUUUGUUUGUUCUCUUUUAUACAUUUGUUUUUAUACCAAAUGUUCUCUAAGCCUGGCAGAUCAGGAAAUAGGGGAGGUAAAAAAUGGAAUUUUGUUACACCUGAAAAAAAAAUUUUAGGUGGGUUUAGAUAUUUCUGAAAGGCAAUAAUUAUAAUUGGGAUUUGUUUUCUUUUUGGAGGUCACAAUAGUAAAGCGGGAGAAAGUUUUAAGUCUGGACAGAGCUUGGAGAAAGAUGGCAUAGUGGAAUUGGGAUGAGCUUUCAGCUCCAUCCCGGGCCAUUCCUGGUUGGAAAUAGGCCUGGGAAUUUCCUGCUGGCUCGCUCCCAGCCCCGUUUUUGGGGGGUUUGUGGCAGGGAUCGGUGCCAGCGGCAGCAGGAGCGGGUCCCGGUGCCACUAGAUGGCAUCGCCAGCCCACGAUUCACCAUCCCUGCUCUGCCCUGGAAUGACGCCGGGAUAACUCCAGGUUAUCUCUUCAGGUGAGUCGCGUUCUGAGUGGGAGCAUCCCCCGGGACUGGGGGAUCCCAGAAUCCCUGGGUUGGAAGAGACCUUCAAGAUCAUCGAGCCCAGCCCAGCCCCAACACCUCAACUCAACCCUGGCCCCCAGUGCCACAUCCAGGCUUUGUUAAACACACCCAGGGAUGGGGACUGCACCACCUCCCCGGGCAGCCAUUCCAGAGCUUUAUCACCCUUUCUGUGGAAAACUUUUUCCUGAUAUCCAGCCUGCAUUUCCCUUGAGGCUGUGUGCUCUGGCUGUGUCAGUGCUGCUGCAGACAGAGCCCAGCCCCAGCUGAGCACAGGCACCUUUCAGGAGCUGUGCAGAGUGAGAAGGGCACCCCUGAGUCUCCUUUUCUCCAGGGGAGCACCCCCAGCUCCCUCAGGGCUCCUCUCAGGGUUUGUGUUCCCAGCCCCUCUCCAGCCUCGCUGUCCCCUCUGGAUGUGCUCAGUGUCCCAAGGUCCUUCCCAAGCUGAGGGGGGAGCUGGGCACAGCACUCCAGGUGUGACCCCAGCAGGGCAGGGACAGGGCAGAGUGACCUCCCUGCUCCUGCUGCCACACCAUUCCUGACCCAGGCCAGGAGCCACUGGCCUUUUGGCCACCAGGGCACUCUGCUGGCUCGUGUCCAGCUGCUGUCCCUCAGGUCCCUUUCUGCCUGGGCACUGUCCAGCCACACCAUCCCCAGCCCUGAGAAUUGCAGGGGUUAUUGUGGCCACAAUGCAGGACUGGGCACUUGGACUCAUUAAACUCCAUCUCUGCCCAUCCAUCCAACCCUUCCAGGUCUCCCUGCAGAGCCCUCCCACCCUCCUACACGUUCCCAGCUUAGUGGAUGGAGCAGGAGUGGAUGGAGAAGCCACUGGAAAAGCUCCUAUGGAGCAACCACAGGGUUCAAAACAUCCGUGGGGCCCAUGAGAGCCACCUGAUGGUGACAUUGCUCACGUGGUGGAGCCAGGUGAAAUGCAAAAAUGAGGAGAAAAAAGUUGUGGAAAGCUCCUCAAGGGGUUAAAUUGUGUUUGGGUGUUUCCCAGGGAUUGUUGCUUCCUGGGAAAACGGUUUCUGUAAAGCAAAAGCAAGUCAGCAUUAACAAACGUGAAUUUUUGUGUCCUCGGGUGUCAGCUCAGCUGAGAAGGGGACAAUUUAAUGAGCUCUCUGUAGGCUUGUAAAUGGGAUGUUUAGAAAACACACAAAUUAAAUUCUCUUGUUUGCAUGGGCGAUGUCUCCAAGUUCCAGAAAAGUUCAGCCAAACCUACGUCAAGUUUGCCAUGAGGCAACAGCUAAAAUAAAUAAUAUCACAGACAAGCAAUGCCAUGGAAAAUAAACCAGCAGCUCCCAGAGCAGCCCUGCCUGUGAUACCCGGGGGUCAAUUUGACUGCUGGAGGUCUCCAGGUAAUCACUGAGAGCAGGGAAAUUAAAUAAUAUUUGGGAUCAAAUAAUUUCCUGAACUUGUUUCACUGAAAUGGAUGGAACAUCUCCCCUCACACUUUUGAGAUUUAAGGCAGAUCUUCUAAAAUUAUGCCUGAAGUAACUGAUACUCAGAUAAACCUCGUGAUAAAAAUUGGUUAUUUCUAAUUUUGCAAUGUGCAAAAGAUGGUUACCCAUCUUUAUUCCUUUUCCUGACUUCCUGGUCAUUUCCUCAAGGAUGAGGCUCUUGUGGCUGUGAGAUUUUGCUCCCUUUGUUGGAAGGACACAGAAGGUGGCAUCAGCCAGGUCUGGUUUUCCCAAGUUGAAAGAAUUAUGAAAUCCCAGAGUGGUUUGGGUUGGUGAGAACCUUAAAGCUCAUCCAGUUCUGUCCCCUGCCAUGGCAGGGACACCUUCCCCUGUCCCAGGUGCUCCAGCCCCAGUGUCCAGCCUGGCCUUGGGCACUGCCAGGGAUCCAGGGGCAGCCACAGCUGCUCUGGGCACCCUGUGCCAGGACCUCCCCACCCUUUGAGUAAACAUUUUUUCCCUAAUAUCCCAUCUAAGCCCUCUCUGUCAUUUUAAAACCAUUCCCCCUUUUCCUGCUGCUCCAUCCCUUGCGAAUACGUUCCCCUCUGGUUUUCUUGUAGCUCCUUCGGGCUCUGCCACACUGAGAUCACUCCAAACUUCUCCUCUCCGGGUGACCAAUCCCACCUCUCCCAGCAGCGCUGCUCCACCCUCUGCAUUCUGUGUUCAUCCCCCCACUCUUCCCAUUCCCAAACCCCCCCGGUUCGUCCGGGACCCUCUCCCGCUCACCCUGGGGUGCGGAGGGAGCGUUCCCGGGGGUCCCCGCUAUUUCACCGAGCGCUGCCCGGACCCUGCCCCGCUUGGUGCCGCGGGAUGCUGGGCUCCCUCCGCGGGAUGCUGGGCUCUCCCCGGCCCCGCAGCCAGCCCAUCCCCGCCGCUCCGUGCCCGCCCUCCGGGGCCGUGCCGGGAGCCGGGAGCGGGGCUGGCCAGCGUACUGGGCUGAUCGCCACGGCCACGCACAACGCUCACACUCGGCCGGAUCUGCCGGGGCCGAGCAGAGCUCCAUCCGCCGCAGCCCGUCCGUCCCUCAGCGAGCGCUUCGCCGGGCUGCCGCGGGACCAGCGCGGCCGGGUGAGGCGCGGAGCGAUGCGGGAAGGAUGCUCGGAGCGAUGCGCGGGGCGGUGCGGUGUGAUGCUCAUCGAUACGUGGAGCGAUGCGCGGGUUGAUGCUUAGCGAUGAGGAGCAAUGUGCGGAAGGAUGUGCGGAGCGAUGCACAGGUUGAUGCUUAGCGAUGCGCGGAGCGGUGCAGAGAGGUGCAGAGCCGCCACCGCCGCGCUGGGUCUGUCCGCAGGCAGAGGCAGCUCCCGGACGCUGGAUCCCAAGUGCGAGAAGGUGCUCGAGAACGGGAAUUUCAGGAAGAGAAGGAAGCGGCGAGCGGGGGCGGCCGGGGACAGCGGCGGGGGUGAAACCCGGCACUACAGAGGGAUGGUUUUGUACCGCAGAAAUCAGGUGGGAUCCUGUCUGAGGGUCUGGAGCGGGAUAUUCAUGGGAAGGAUGGAGAAACUCCUGCCUGGCAGAGCUGGAGGACCCUUGUGAAAACACUGAACCUCCGAGCUGGGCAAGAAACAAUUUCACUGAACCCUCUUUUCCUUCUGCUCCAGGAUACAAAGCUCCAGAUCUGACUGAAAGGGCUGAAUUCCUGAUUUUCCCCUUGGGAUUGUUCUCCCCCGGGACAAAAUUCCCCUGCAGGACCCUGGAAAUGCAGGAAAGCAGAAGCCCAGGAGGCUGCAGGUGCUUCAGACUGCCCCAGCUGUGGUUCUGCUGGAGCAGGGAUCCUGCACAAGGCUGCAGUUUUCCUCUGGAGCUCCAGGGUUGCUGGAGAUGGGCCUGGUGUUCCUGUGGGAAUGCAGGGCAGGAGAAAGCUGCUCCUCUGGGAAUGCAGGGGGCAAAGGCUGCUGUGCUGUUCCAGGCUCAGAUUGUAUCCAGGUAGGAAUGCUUGGCUCCUCCCCUGGGAGGAGCAUCUCCCAGUGGGAUGCUGGAAUUUGAUCAGCCAUGCAGGGACACUCACUGGCCAUGGACAGAAGAUAAUUAAUAAUUAAUGGCCCAUGAACAGAAGAGAUCUCCUGGAGGGAGGACUGGCUGUGGGAGAGAAAAAGAAAAAACUGCCCCAUGAACAGCAGAGAACUGCCCCAGCUCUGACAGAUGGGAAAUAGAACACACAGCCCCAUUUCCAGCCUGUUCCCAAAAAGAUCCAGAAAUCCAUGGUUCAUUUCAGCCAGGAGAAUUGGAAUGACAUCAGUGAGUUAUGGAGAAGCUUGGGAAAUGACAGAGCUCAGGAAGCUCCACUCUGAGCUGUGCUUUCCACAGGGAAAGGGCAGCAUGGAAACAACAACCUGGGUUCAUUAUUCCAGGAAUGGAAAUGGGGAUCUGGGCUGUUCCUUUUCCAGCGGGAUAAAUAUCCAGGAUUUCUGUGCUCUGGAACAAAGGGUUGGCCUAAAUAAAGAUGAGAAGGGGCUGUCAAAGCCUCGUAAAUCAGGAUUUUGGGAACAGGCAGCAGUGCAGGGCGUGAAAGGAGAGUUUGCACUUUGGAACAUUUGGUUUUGGGGCUGUGCUUUGAGCCCAGCUCAGGGCUGCAGGUUCCCAAAAAACAACCCCAUCCCUCCUCAUCCCUGGCAGCCUUCCCUCCCAAAAAGGGCUGGACAGAGCCUGGCAGUGCAGGGUGACCUCUGCUCACAGGGAUUUUGGUGGUGUGCAGGCAGUGCCUGUGGGGUGUCCUUUGGGAAUGGAAAAUUCCCAAAAAACCCCAGGGAAUGCUCCUGGCUGGGCAGGGAAAGGCAGGCAGGGGCUGGAGAGGUUUGGCUUCUUCAGCACUGAGCAUGAAUUAUUUUCCUGGCUUUAAUUGCUGUUAUUGUAGUCUCAGUUCUAUUUUAAUCCAGUUGCAAAAGCAAUAAAUCUCUAUUUUCAGCGUGAUUAUCACUCAGGAGGAGCCCAUCACAAAUGCAAACAGGAUGUGAUAAAUCAGACUUACUUCUCCGUUUUUUCUUUUCAAUCUCCCCUCUGCUCCAGCACUUGCCUGUGAUAAAUCCUUGUUAAGCACUAGGAUUUCCCUGGGCUUUACUGUGGGAUAACACAGCUUCCCAAGAUUUAUUUUUUUCUGGAAAACAGAACAGGGAAUAUUAAAUUUUUUGUUGUGGGAGGAAAAUCAAGACAAAACCAAGUUUCCAGGUUCUUGGAAGUCAUCAGGGCUGAAGGAAAAGGACGUUGUAAGUAGUUGUCAUUACAUAAAACUAUCAGGAAGGAAAAUAUCAGGAAAUAAAAUGCCCUUUUCUAUGGGUUGUCUGGAAUUCCAUGCUGCAGGAGAUGGAAACUCAAGUCCUGGAGGAAAAUCCGUGGUAAAAUCUGUGGUGGGAGCAGGUUGGAUGUGAAUGAUUCACCUUGUAAGCUGCAGAACCCAGCUCAGUGUGGUGUCUGGGCUUUUUGGGAUUGUGGCAUUCCCUGGGAGGCCCAAAUCCUGCUCCUGCAGGACUCCAGCUCCU